Molecule: long non-coding RNA, 2700 nt
Filed under: Amborella trichopoda
Lineage: Eukaryota; Viridiplantae; Streptophyta; Magnoliopsida; Amborellales; Amborellaceae
Description: long non-coding RNA (ATRI_LNC003451)
Source: RNAcentral
AAAACCAUAUAAUGAUAUUUGUUUCUCAAGACCAGGCAUAAAAGAAUAGUUUUGAUAUGGUUCCUGUGGACCACCAGAUGAAAUGCAGGGAUUUAUUUGAAAACACGGGCUCUCUCUCCCUCUCUCUCUCUCUCUCUCUCUCUCUCUCUCUCUCUCUCUCUUCUUCUCGUCGUCGUACGUAGUACGUAGUAAGUAAGUAAGUAGUAGUAGUACGUACGUACUACGUACUACUACUACUACUACUAACUACUNNNNNNNNNNNNNNNNNNNNUUUCGUUCCUAACGAACCAACGGACGACUAAAGUAAAUAAGUUUAGUUAGUAUGUUCCGUUCGUGGUACGACCACGAUGUAAUAGUCAGGAGUUAUUUGUAACAACGGACGUCUCUCUCCUCCUCUCUCUCUCUCUCUCUCUCUCUCGAUUUUAUCCUCUCUUCGUUGUUCCUGCAAGAGCUAUUUAAAGAGAAGAGGUGAGCAGUAAUCCUUUUCCCAAGCUCUCAAGACCAAUCAAAUCUCAAAGGACUUUUUUUUUUCUUUUUUUCUCUACUAAUGAUUCCAUUGUCUCUCUUCCAAUGGAUGAUUUACCCAAACACUCCGACCUUGGUUUUCCCUCUUGUACACAGAUUUGGACCUAGGUUUUCUCUGCCCUCUGGUAAUGGGUGUUUCAAUUAUUGUUGUUGAGAAUGGACGAGACCAAUGAUAACAGAGAGUUCAUGGUGAGCCUACCGCAAAUUCUCCACAAAAAUUUCUACUGUUCAGCCUGAUUCGAAAUCUCCAGAUUCUGAAACUGCCUCCUUAAUUGGCGGACGAUUUCCAGUGGUUGAGAGCACCAUCGGAGUUGGUGGCGAAGUUGGGGAAGAAUUUGUGGAAGGAGAGGGUGGCCAGGCAUUUUCUGAAAGGAGGCGGCCAUGGAGGAUUUGGUGGUGGCCGAGGUUUGGGGGGCCGCAGGGAGCGCAGCUGGUGUUAAUGGCGAGGAAGCAGCGCAUAGAGGCAACUUUGAAAGAAAAAAGCAGAGAUAAACAUACGUAUUCAGGAGACAGAGACUAUGAAUUGGAUAUUACGAGAGAGCCGUCUCUGUCGGGAGUGAAUCAUGAGAAACAUGGAUAUUUGUGAGAGAGAAACUGUUGGUCGCGUAUUGGGUACUUUGUACUAGGAAAUAGCUAUCUUUUGAGAGCAACAACUCAAAAGGACGAUACGUGACCAGCAUCGGAUAUUUUCUAUUAUGAUACUAUGUUAUAAUUCAUGAAAGCAUAUACACAGAUAUUAUAUGGAGAGUGAACACAACAAUUACUCGAGACUUUACGUCCACAGAUCCAAAGCCCCAAUAGGCUAUAUCUUUAUUAAUUGGUUUAGGAGGUCGAGGCGUCCAUAAAUCCAAAGCCCCAACAUGGAAUAUCUUCAUUAUUUUUGGAUAGAUGUUUAUAAAAGCCCCAAUAGGCUACAUCUUCACUAUUUUCAUAUGAAUAUUUACAUAUAAAUACCCUUAUAUUUAGAGUUUCAGAUUGAUAUUUACAUAUAAAUGCCUCUAUAUUUAGAGUUUUAGAUGGAUAUUUACAUAUAAAUACCUCUAUAUUUAGAGGACAAUCACACAAUUACAUGAGAUAAAUAUGGUACGAUUCUUAAUAUAAAGUUUCAGAUGGAUAUUUAUAUAUAAAUACCUCUAUAUUUAAAGGACAAUCAUACAAUUACAGGUGAUAAAUAUGAUACGAUUCUUGCAAAUAAAGGUAAAUAGUAUGAGGUCUUAUCACCAAACUCAAAACUUAAGUUAGUUUGACUUGGUCUCUUCUAAUCUUCUAAAUACCUAAGCGAUAUAUACCCAUACAUCCAUAAUAAUGUAUACCACUAGAAACACAAGAUAUUCAUAUCCUAACAAUACAAUCAUUAAAGGUGAAAUUUAAUAGCUUGAGUGUGUCACAAAGUUCACGAAAAUUUAUUUUGAACUUUGAGCUUGGUCAAUUGAAUAAAUGUAGACACUCAAUUUCACAACCAACGGUCAAGAUUAAUUCUAACCAUCUUGUAUAAAAAAUAAAUGGUCACAUUAUUUUUUUUUCAUGUUAUAUAUUAUAGACUUUUCCUCAUGUUGUUAUAUAACUCAAGUACUAAAACAACAUAGGCAAGUACCAAGAUUGAGUUGAGAGAAAACCAUGCUCCAUAUAGCUAUCCCACUUUUCAACUACAAUCUUGUAAUUGAUUAAUAAUAUAUCCAUUAUACCCUAACUUCCUCGCUAUCUCUUCCUUGGUCAUCUCUAUUGCCAUAUAAAUAUGACCUAUGGUCAGUUUCCCCUUCUCACAAUUCACCAUUGCAUUCACUAAAGGUGUAACACAUUCACUAAAGUGAGUAGGUCAUCUCAUUCCAAAAUUAAGGUUGCAAAAACAAUAUACCUACAUGCUGUUGGUCCAUUGUUUAGAGACAAAAGAAUUGUAUAAAAAGAGUGCAUCUUGGAACAAGUUAUUUGGAUCGUAUAUUUUCAAGACUUAUCUCGAUUUGCACCUUUUUAAAAUUUCAAAUUUUAUAAUUAGGAUUAAACCUAGACUUCCAAUCCAUGAUAGCGUUACCCACAUAUAACUCAUCUCCCUGCAACUAAUGACCCAGAUGGCCUCCCAUGUUAAUUUGAAAAGCACUUAAUUUGUAAGAAUAAUAAAAUAAAAAGAGCACUUAGUUAGAAAACGACUUAAUUUUGUCGUAAUUUGAAGAAGAAUUU